ACCUCAGUUCGGAUUGAAGGCUGAAAUUCGCCUUCAUGAAGUCGGAAUUGCUAGUAAUGGCAGGUCAGCAUACUGCCGUGAAUACGUUCCCGGGCCUUGUACACGCCGCCCGUCACACCAUGAGAGUUGGAGAUACCCGAAGCCUAUGAGCUAACUUUUAGAGGCAGUAGUCGAAGGUAGAAUCAAUGAUUGGGGUGAAGUCGUAACAAGGUACC
RNAcentral lists this ribosomal RNA (215 nucleotides) under uncultured bacterium. RNAcentral's name for it is "partial 16S ribosomal RNA". It matches the Rfam family "Bacterial small subunit ribosomal RNA", at positions 1285 to 1500 of the family's 1533-position model. The record is from RNAcentral.